GGGUUGUGAGGUUAAGCGACUAAGCGUACACGGUGGAUGCCCUGGCAGUCAGAGGCGAUGAAGGACGUGCUAAUCUGCGAUAAGCGUCGGUAAGGUGAUAUGAACCGUUAUAACCGGCGAUUUCCGAAUGGGGAAACCCAGUGUGAUUCGUCACACUAUCAUUAACUGAAUCCAUAGGUUAAUGAGGCGAACCGGGGGAACUGAAACAUCUAAGUACCCCGAGGAAAAGAAAUCAACCGAGAUUCCCCCAGUAGCGGCGAGCGAACGGGGAGCAGCCCAGAGCCUGAAUCAGUGUGUGUGUUAGUGGAAGCGUCUGGAAAGGCGCGCGAUACAGGGUGACAGCCCCGUACACAAAAAUGCACAUAUUGUGAGCUCGAUGAGUAGGGCGGGACACGUGGUAUCCUGUCUGAAUAUGGGGGGACCAUCCUCCAAGGCUAAAUACUCCUGACUGACCGAUAGUGAACCAGUACCGUGAGGGAAAGGCGAAAAGAACCCCGGCGAGGGGAGUGAAAAAGAACCUGAAACCGUGUACGUACAAGCAGUGGGAGCACGCUUCGGCGUGUGACUGCGUACCUUUUGUAUAAUGGGUCAGCGACUUAUAUUCUGUAGCAAGGUUAACCGAAUAGGGGAGCCGAAGGGAAACCGAGUCUUAACUGGGCGUUAAGUUGCAGGGUAUAGACCCGAAACCCGGUGAUCUAGCCAUGGGCAGGUUGAAGGUUGGGUAACACUAACUGGAGGACCGAACCGACUAAUGUUGAAAAAUUAGCGGAUGACUUGUGGCUGGGGGUGAAAGGCCAAUCAAACCGGGAGAUAGCUGGUUCUCCCCGAAAGCUAUUUAGGUAGCGCCUCGUGAAUUCAUCUCCGGGGGUAGAGCACUGUUUCGGCAAGGGGGUCAUCCCGACUUACCAACCCGAUGCAAACUGCGAAUACCGGAGAAUGUUAUCACGGGAGACACACGGCGGGUGCUAACGUCCGUCGUGAAGAGGGAAACAACCCAGACCGCCAGCUAAGGUCCCAAAGUCAUGGUUAAGUGGGAAACGAUGUGGGAAGGCCCAGACAGCCAGGAUGUUGGCUUAGAAGCAGCCAUCAUUUAAAGAAAGCGUAAUAGCUCACUGGUCGAGUCGGCCUGCGCGGAAGAUGUAACGGGGCUAAACCAUGCACCGAAGCUGCGGCAGCGACACUAUGUGUUGUUGGGUAGGGGAGCGUUCUGUAAGCCUGUGAAGGUGUGCUGUGAGGUAUGCUGGAGGUAUCAGAAGUGCGAAUGCUGACAUAAGUAACGAUAAAGCGGGUGAAAAGCCCGCUCGCCGGAAGACCAAGGGUUCCUGUCCAACGUUAAUCGGGGCAGGGUGAGUCGACCCCUAAGGCGAGGCCGAAAGGCGUAGUCGAUGGGAAACAGGUUAAUAUUCCUGUACUUGGUGUUACUGCGAAGGGGGGACGGAGAAGGCUAUGUUGGCCGGGCGACGGUUGUCCCGGUUUAAGCGUGUAGGCUGGUUUUCCAGGCAAAUCCGGAAAAUCAAGGCUGAGGCGUGAUGACGAGGCACUACGGUGCUGAAGCAACAAAUGCCCUGCUUCCAGGAAAAGCCUCUAAGCAUCAGGUAACAUCAAAUCGUACCCCAAACCGACACAGGUGGUCAGGUAGAGAAUACCAAGGCGCUUGAGAGAACUCGGGUGAAGGAACUAGGCAAAAUGGUGCCGUAACUUCGGGAGAAGGCACGCUGAUAUGUAGGUGAGGUCCCUCGCGGAUGGAGCUGAAAUCAGUCGAAGAUACCAGCUGGCUGCAACUGUUUAUUAAAAACACAGCACUGUGCAAACACGAAAGUGGACGUAUACGGUGUGACGCCUGCCCGGUGCCGGAAGGUUAAUUGAUGGGGUCAGCGCAAGCGAAGCUCUUGAUCGAAGCCCCGGUAAACGGCGGCCGUAACUAUAACGGUCCUAAGGUAGCGAAAUUCCUUGUCGGGUAAGUUCCGACCUGCACGAAUGGCGUAAUGAUGGCCAGGCUGUCUCCACCCGAGACUCAGUGAAAUUGAACUCGCUGUGAAGAUGCAGUGUACCCGCGGCAAGACGGAAAGACCCCGUGAACCUUUACUAUAGCUUGACACUGAACAUUGAGCCUUGAUGUGUAGGAUAGGUGGGAGGCUUAGAAGUGUGGACGCCAGUCUGCAUGGAGCCGACCUUGAAAUACCACCCUUUAAUGUUUGAUGUUCUAACGUUGACCCGUGAUCCGGGUUGCGGACAGUGUCUGGUGGGUAGUUUGACUGGGGCGGUCUCCUCCUAAAGAGUAACGGAGGAGCACGAAGGUUGGCUAAUCCUGGUCGGACAUCAGGAGGUUAGUGCAAUGGCAUAAGCCAGCUUGACUGCGAGCGUGACGGCGCGAGCAGGUGCGAAAGCAGGUCAUAGUGAUCCGGUGGUUCUGAAUGGAAGGGCCAUCGCUCAACGGAUAAAAGGUACUCCGGGGAUAACAGGCUGAUACCGCCCAAGAGUUCAUAUCGACGGCGGUGUUUGGCACCUCGAUGUCGGCUCAUCACAUCCUGGGGCUGAAGUAGGUCCCAAGGGUAUGGCUGUUCGCCAUUUAAAGUGGUACGCGAGCUGGGUUUAGAACGUCGUGAGACAGUUCGGUCCCUAUCUGCCGUGGGCGCUGGAGAACUGAGGGGGGCUGCUCCUAGUACGAGAGGACCGGAGUGGACGCAUCACUGGUGUUCGGGUUGUCAUGCCAAUGGCACUGCCCGGUAGCUAAAUGCGGAAGAGAUAAGUGCUGAAAGCAUCUAAGCACGAAACUUGCCCCGAGAUGAGUUCUCCCUGACCCUUUAAGGGUCCUGAAGGAACGUUGAAGACGACGACGUUGAUAGGCCGGGUGUGUAAGCGCAGCGAUGCGUUGAGCUAACCGGUACUAAUGAACCGUGAGGCUUAACCUUACAACGCCGAAG
This 2924-nucleotide ribosomal RNA is filed under the name Escherichia coli. RNAcentral describes it as "bacterial LSU rRNA". It matches the Rfam family "Bacterial large subunit ribosomal RNA". Lineage: Bacteria; Pseudomonadati; Pseudomonadota; Gammaproteobacteria; Enterobacterales; Enterobacteriaceae. The record is from RNAcentral.